UCCAUAUACUCUUGAGAAGAAUGUGUAUUCCAUUGUUGCAUAGUGUGUGUUGUUUGUAUCUGUUAGAUCUAGUUGUUUUGUUGUAUUGCUCAAGUCUCUCUCUCUCUCUACACACACACACACUUUUUUUCUGUCUGGAUUUUCUAACAUGAACAGUAAGAUAUUGAAAUCUCCAAAUGUUAUUGUACAUUUAUCUAUUUUACCUUCAGUUGUAUCUGGUUUUGCUUAUAUAUUUUGAUAGUCUGUUAUUAGGUCUAUAACUAUUUAUAAUUAGUUUUUCUUAUUGCUGCAUUAAACCUUUUAUUAAUAUGUAAUGUAUUUCUUUACCUCCUGACACCUCUUUUAUUUUAAAGUCUAUUUGUCUGAUAUUGUAUGUCCACUACAACUCCUUUGAUUACUAUUUUUAUGAGAUGUCCUUUUCUAUCCUUUCACUUUUAAUUGAUUUGUCUUUUUUAAUCUAUCUUCCAAUCUCUGUCUUUUUGUUGGAAAGUUUUAUUGAUUUAUACUUAAUUACUGUUAAGGAGAUACUUAUUUCUGUCAUUUUAAUAUUUGUUUUCUGUAGCCUUUAUGGCUUUAUUAUCAAUCAUUUCCUGCAUUACUGUUUAGUUUUAAUGUUUAGUUGAUUUUUUUUAAAUAGUGAAACAGCGAAAUUCCUUUCUAAUUUCCAUUUGUGGAUAUUCUUUAGCUAUUUUCUUUAUCAUUACCAUGGGGUGUACAUUUAACAUCCUAAAGUUAUAACAUCCUAAUUUGAAUUUAUACCAGCUUAACUUUAAUAAUAUACAGAAUUCUGCUUCUUUAACAGCUUUGUCCAUGCAUCUUUUAGUUAUUAAUGUCACAGAAUUACAUCUUUAGACAUUGUGUAACCAAACAAAAUAAUUUUAACUCCAGUAGUCUCUUUAAUUCUGUAAAAAAAAUUAAACACAAAAUUAGCAUAAUUAAAGUCUACUGAAGUUAGAAAUUAAAUCCAAUAAAAAUAGCUUUUAGACCAAUAAUUUUUAAUAAAUUAAUUUCUUAAUCAUCUUAAGCAUAAAAUAUGAAGUUAUACAUCAUUGUUAUAAUAAUACUAAUUUUUAGAAUUACCCUGUUUACCUUUACUGAGAUCUUUAUCUUAAUGUGGCUUUAAAUUAUUGUCUAUUUCAUCCUUCAGGAUUCUCUUUAGUACCUCUCAUAGGUCAAGUCUAAUUGUAUUUAGCACCUUAAGCUUUGUUGUUGUUGUUGUUAUUCAGGAGUUUACUAAUUUCUUCCUUACUUUUGAAAGAGUUUUGCCAGAUUUAGAAUUCUUGUUUGGCAGGGAAUUUUAUUUUUUUCUUCUAGCACUUUGGCUAUAUCAGGCCAUAGUCUCCAAAGGCUUUGUUUGUUUGUUUGUUUGUUUUAUCUUUUCUAGGGCCACACCCAUGACAUGUGGAGGUUCCCAGGCUAGGGGUCUAAUUAGAGCUGUAGCUGCCAGCUUGUGCCACAGCCACAGCAACGCAGGAUCCGAGCCGGAUCUGUGACCUACGCCACAGCUCACAGGAACACCAGAUCCUUAACCCAAUGAGCGAGGCCAGGGAUUGAACCUGCAACCUCAUGGUUCCUAGUCGGAUUCAGUAACCAGUGAGCCACGACAGGAACUCCUUAGUCUCCAAAGGUUUUGAUGAGAGAUCUUCUGUAAUCUUAUUGAAGAUCUCUCAUAUGUAAAGUUGCAUUUUUUCAUACUGUUUCCUGAAUUUGCUAUGUCUUUGAAUUUUGACAAUUUUAUUAUAUUUUAUCUCAGUGUCAAUGUUUUAAAGAUCAUUCUACUUGGAAUUUAAGUUUCUUGGAUGUUUAUAUUCAUGAGUGUCUUAAAACUUGGAAAAAUUUCAGCUAUCAUUUCUUCAAAUUUCCCUUUAUCUUUACUCUUCUGGAACUCUCAAAAUGCAUGUGUUGGUCUUUCUGAUGGUGUUGCAUAAGUUCCUUUGGUUUUCUUCACUUUUCUUCAGCCUUUUUUCUUCGUCAUACUUGAUCAUUUCCAUUAUUUUAUCUUCAGGUUCACCUGUUUUUUCCUCUGAUUAAUUCAAUCAAUUGUUAAAUUCCACUGAGGUUUUGGGGUUUUUUUUAAAUUCUUGUUAUUAUAUUUUUCAGCUCUUGAUUUGCUUUUUUUUUUAGGUUUUUUCUCUUUAUUGAUUUUUUUAAUGUUGUUCUUAUGUCAUUUCUUGGCUUUUGUCACAUAUUUUAAUUCUUCUAGCAUUUUUAUGAUAAUUGUUUUUAAAUUUUUGUCUAGUAGAUCUACCAUCAUGGGUUCAUUUUGUUUGUUUGUUUUUGGCCACACCCAUGGCAUGUGAAAGUUUCCAGGCCAGGGAUUGAACCCAUGCCACAACACUGACCCAGAUUGCUGCAGUGACAAUGCUGGAUCCUUAAUCUUCUUCUGUGCCACAGAAGAACUCUACAUCAGGCCUUUUUCAGGGACAGUUUCUAUUGUUGGUCUUUGGUUUUGUUUUGCCUUUGAAUGGACCAUACUUUCCUGCUUCUUUGUAUGAUGUGUGCCUUUUUUUUGUCAUUGUUGAAAAGCAGACAUUUGAUCUAAUAAUAUGGUGACUCUGGAAAUCAAAACCUUCCCCUUCCCAACAGUUGAGGGUUUUUUUUUGUUUUGUUGUGUUGUGUUUUGUUUUAUUGUUUUUUGUUUUUUGGGUUUUUUUUUUCUUUUUUUUUAGGGCCACACCCACAGCACAUGGAAGUUCCCAGGCUAGGGGUCUAAUCGGAGCUGUAGCUGCCAGCCUACGCCAGAGCCACAGCAACGCAGGAUCUGAGCCACGUCUGCGACCUACACCACAGCUCACGGCAACGCCGGAACCUUGACCCACUGAGCAAGGGCAGGGAUCGAACCCGAAACCUCAUGGUUCCUAGUUGGAUUCGUUAACCACUGCGUCACGACGGGAACUCCCCUCCUACAGUUUUUUUACUUUUGUUUUAUUUUAGUUUUCAUUGUUUGUAGGCUACCUCUGCUGAGGAUCAGACUGAGUUACAAUACUGAGGUCUUUUCUGAGACUGUGCCUUCCCUUAGUCAUGCACAGUGCCUUUCUAAUUUCCUCCACAUAUGUGGUUGCCUUGAAUGUGUCAGCCACAUUCAUAUGUGGUUGUAGUUUUCAAUAUACAGCUCCAAAACGGGGAAAUAGAAAAAGAAAUGGAUGGUCAUGUUCUAUUCCUUUAAGCGUCUUUUACUUAAAUUCAGCCAGAGGAAGAGGGGUUUGCAGCAAGGAAGGAGUUGCAACAAUGACUGCCAACUUUUUCUUCACAGUUCUGUGAUCAGAAACAGCAAUCAGUUGCAUUUCGGACUUUGGCUAAGAUAAAGUAUAGAAGAAGCAAUGAGUGGUCAGAGUACAGAUGCUCAGUGUUUAGAAGACAGGGUUCUUUUUGAUCAGGUUGGAUCCUGCAAGCUUUGUGCAAGUUCCCCCAGAAAAGCUUUUUCAACUGCCUGCUGUGGGCUGAUGAUUGAGUGAUGGGGAGAUUCAGCUGUUGAAGUUGAUUAAUAUUAACUGAUAUUUACCAUCCAGGACUUCUUGGAAAUUGAAGAGUCUUCAGUAGACUUCAGAGUACCAAAAUAGUUAAAUCAGACAUAUUCUGCCAAGCAGUUGUCUAGGUGAGGACUCAGAAAUCUCAUGUUUCUACCCUGUCAUCUUACUAGAACUCUGUAUUUCCUUCAUGUUGAAAGAUAAUUUUGCACAAUACAGAAUAUCAGGAUGAUGAGGUUUUCUUCCCAAUACUUUGAAUGGUUCAUUCCACUCUCUCCUUGCUUAUAUGUUUCUGAGGAGAAGUAAGUUUUAGGGUUUUUUCUGUGAUUUCUUUCAAGAUUUUUUUUUUCUACACUUUGACCAUGAUAUGCCUAGAUGUAGGGGUUUUUUUGGGGUGGGGGAGCAACAUUAAUUCUGUUUCUUGUUUUCUUUCUUUCUUUUUUUUUUUCUGUCUAUGCCUCCAGCAUGUGGAAGUUCCUAGGCCAGGAAUCAAUCCUAUGACCUGAGCCACUUAAGGACAUUGCCAGAUCCUUAAGCUGCUGCACCACAGGGAGAUUCCACGUUUUCUGUUCUUAGUGGACCUAUAAUUUGCUGUCUGAUAUUAAUUUGGGAAAAUCCUCAUCCCUUUCGUAUCUAAGUCUGGUUUGAUGCUGUUUCUUCAUAUGUAUUUUUUAUCUUUUAGUAUGCUUUGUGACUUUUUUGUUGAAACACAGACAUAAUGUACUAGGUAAACGAAACUGUGGAGUUCCCAUUGUGGCUUAGCAGGUUACAAACCCAACUAAUAUCCAUGAGGAUAUGGAUUCAAUCCUUGGCCUCACUCAGUGUGUUAAGGAUCCAGUAUUGCCGUGAGCUGUGGUGUAGGUCACAGAUGUGGCUUGGAUCCCAUGUUUCUGUGGCUGAGGUUUUAGCUGGCAGCUGUGGGAACUUCCAUAGGCUGCAGGUGCUGCCCUAAAAAGGCAAAAAGGAAGGGAGGGAGGGAAGGCAGAAAGAAAGGGAAAGAAGAAAGGAAGAAAAGAAAGAAAACCCAGGAAGGAAGGAAGAAAAGACAGGAGAAAAGAAAACCUAGGAAAGGAAGGAAGAAAAAGAAAACCCCAAAGGGCUUUUAGUAAUGUAAUGGUAUGAUUUAAUAAUGUGAUAAUCCCAUAAUUACAUUUUAGUCCUUCAGUAAGCUUGUUCCACUAAGCUGUGGGCUUUAAAAGUACUUCUCACUUGUUUCCCAAUUAAGUGGGACAGGGAGUUGGAUAUUUCACUUCCCACAUACUGGUUUGUGUAUUAGGCAGGGUUCAUCAGAGAAACAGAAACAAUAAGAGAUACAAGUAUUCACAUGUGCCUGUGCACACACACACACACACACACACACACACACACACACACUUGUAUAUAGUAAAUUACUAUAAAGGUUUGACUCAUGUGAUAUGACUAUGGAGGCUGGGAAGUCCCACAGUCUUCCCUCUGCAUGCUAUAUAUUCAGGAAUUCCACUGGUGUGUUUCCAGUUCUAGUUCAAAGACCUGAGAAUAAGAACACUGUAAGUUUCAGUCCUAAGGCAAGAAGAGGUUGAUGUCCCAGCUCUUACAGUCAGCAGAGAUAGAGCAAAUUCUCUCUCCAUAUUUUUGUUCUUUUCACCAAAGCAUCAGAUGAUGUCCACUCACAUUGGGGAUGGCAAUCUUCUUUACUCAGACUACUGCUUCAAAUGCUAAUCUCAACCAGAAACACCCUCACAGAAAAUUCCAGGGAAAAAAAAUUACCCAAAUAUCUGGGUAUCCUGGUAUAUAGUCAAGUUGACAUAUAAAAUUAACCAUAACAGUUAGGUUCUGAAAAAACCCUAGUAGGUUAGGUUCUGGUAGGAUAGUUUUUCUUGAAGACAGAUCUUAAGAAGAAUAAAGUUCUUAGAAGUUCCCUUGUGGUGCAGCAGGCUAAGGAUCUGGUGUUGUUUCAGCUGUGGUGCAGGCUACAACCAUGGCAUGGGUUCAGUCCCUGGCUUGGGAACUGCCAUGUGCCAUAGGUGUGACCCAAAAACUAAAUUUAAAAAGAAAAUUAAAAAAAUAGAGUUCUUUAGCAUGUUUUAAAACGGUUACUUUUACCCAACUCCUGCUGGAAGCACAAGAGGAUUUUUCUCUAGUACUCACUCUGUGAACCUAGUAGAGCUCCUAGAGGUAAAUUGUCAAAGGCAUGGGAGGCAACCUUAAAACAGCCCCUACUCACCCAGAAUUUUUAACUCUCAGACUUGUCCAGCAACUAGGCAGUUAAAGUUUAGGCUUUUCUAUUGCAGUAUGGUUCCCACAGGGAUUUCUGCUCUGGUAAGUUGCAAUUCUCUGUAUCUGUGUGUCUCUCCAAUUUUGGAGGUGGUGAUUUGCCCUGUGACCUCACUUCUCUGACUGAUCUGAAAAGAGUUGUUUAAUUUUUAGUUUCAGCUUUUUACUGGACUAAAGUAUUCCAAUCUCCAUACAUAUCAGACUGAAACUUAACUGACCUUUUAAUUCUAGCUAUCCUUCUGAAUGCAAAGUGAUCUGUCAUUUUUUUUUUUUCUUUCUCAAGUUCACAUAGGAUAUUCUCCAGGAUAUACUAUAUGCCAAACCAUGAAAGAGUUCUCAGUAGAUUUUAAAAACCAGAUGUCAUUCAAAUUAUCUUCUCCAGCCAAAAUGGAACAAAGUUAGAAAUGAAUAACAGAAGGAAUGUUGGAAAACCCACAAAUUAAAUUAGAAAUUAAAGAACACAAUCUUAAAACAACAAAUUGGCAAAAAAAAAA
This 6214-nucleotide long non-coding RNA is filed under the name Sus scrofa (pig). Its description in RNAcentral is "lncRNA (ENSSSCG00040033536.1)". The record is from RNAcentral. Lineage: Eukaryota; Metazoa; Chordata; Mammalia; Artiodactyla; Suidae.